Molecule: ribosomal RNA, 462 nt
Filed under: uncultured bacterium
Lineage: Bacteria
Description: bacterial SSU rRNA
Rfam family: Bacterial small subunit ribosomal RNA
Source: RNAcentral
GAUGAACGCUAGCUACAGGCUUAACACAUGCAAGUCGAGGGGCAUCAGUUUGGUUUGCUUGCAAACCAAAGCUGGCGACCGGCGCACGGGUGAGUAACACGUAUCCAACCUGCCUCAUACUCGGGGAUAGCCUUUCGAAAGAAAGAUUAAUAUCCGAUAGCAUAUAUUUCCCGCAUGGGUUUUAUAUUAAAGAAAUUCGGUAUGAGAUGGGGAUGCGUUCCAUUAGUUUGUUGGGGGGGUAACGGCCCACCAAGACUACGAUGGAUAGGGGUUCUGAGAGGAAGGUCCCCCACAUUGGAACUGAGACACGGUCCAAACUCCUACGGGAGGCAGCAGUGAGGAAUAUUGGUCAAUGGACGCGAGUCUGAACCAGCCAAGUAGCGUGAAGGAUGACUGCCCUAUGGGUUGUAAACUUCUUUUAUAUGGGAAUAAAGUUGUCCACGUGUGGAUUUUUGUAGUACC